Molecule: long non-coding RNA, 285 nt
Filed under: Elaeis guineensis (African oil palm)
Lineage: Eukaryota; Viridiplantae; Streptophyta; Magnoliopsida; Arecales; Arecaceae
Description: long non-coding RNA (EGUI_LNC017916)
Source: RNAcentral
AGCAAUAUAAAUAAUCGAGAGAAGAACUAUUCAUAUUUGAAGUACAUCGAAGGACAAAAAAUGAGUAUGGCUGCUAAUUCUAUCUUGAUAGAUGAUGAGAUAAAGAAAUAUCUCACAUAAUUAAAGAAGAAAAUUAUCCAACUCAUCCAGACCGUAUCUCGAUUGGCGGUACCUUCAACACAAAUACUAGCAACUCUUGUAAUGAAGUUAUCUCUUAUGUCUAGAGAUCAAGAUCUAUCAUCUAGAAAGCAAGAUCAAGGAUGAAAACCAUCUUCAAGCAAAGCC